AUACCUUUCUCGGCCUUUUGGCUAAGAUCAAGUGUAGUAUCUGUUCUUAUCAGUUUAAUUAAUAUAUGAUAUGUGUGUCAUUGACUCACACGAUAUUAACUCAAUUUUUUAAGGCGGAAGGCUCACGACGGUAGCUUGCUAUCGGGCCCUUCAAGUGUCGCCUUGGUGUUACACUACUGCCUAGGCUUGGCGCACCAAUG
This is a small nuclear RNA of Lycium barbarum (goji berry), 200 nucleotides long. RefSeq annotates it as U2 spliceosomal RNA. NCBI's taxonomy places the organism in Eukaryota, Viridiplantae, Streptophyta, Magnoliopsida, Solanales, Solanaceae. The transcript has a single exon. The record is from RefSeq and is a predicted model, not a curated record.